Molecule: long non-coding RNA, 2241 nt
Filed under: Cricetulus griseus (Chinese hamster)
Lineage: Eukaryota; Metazoa; Chordata; Mammalia; Rodentia; Cricetidae
Description: lncRNA (ENSCGRG00015036517.1)
Source: RNAcentral
CGGGCUUUUGAGGUCUUCCAAGCUCGUUGGUCCAGUGUGUCUCACUCUUCUGCUGCCUACGGAUCAAUAUGUAGAACUCUCAGCUACCUCUCCAGCCCCGUGUCUCCCUGCACGCCACCAUGCUCCACACCAUGAUGAUAACGGACUGAACCUCUGAACUGCUCUGUGUUGUCUCCCUCUGUCCCUCCCUGUCCUGGCAAAGCCCGUUUUGAAGCAGCAGCACUGAGGCGUGGAGGGCAGCCUGAGAGCCGUUGUUUUGAUGCAGAGUGCCGUGGAAUACAAUAAAUUGCCCCAGUAGCAUCUUCAAAGACACAGGUUUUCUUCUCCGUCUGAGUGGCAUGGUGGACAGCACUUGGACUUCUCUGUGAAGAUGUGCAGGCUCCUCUAAGAUGUCUUUAUUAGCUCCCCUCACAGGCUGGGGCUGAAAUCCAUGCUCAAUGCACAGUGAACCAAGGCUGAGACACCAGCGUCGCUGCUCAGAGAUCCAGAGGCUGAAGUGAGCCACCUGUCACUGACAAUUCUGGCCACAGCGCUUUAUUUUGAAUCCAGAUGAAGGGGAAAGACUUGACAGUGAUUUCAGUGGGUGAAGUCCACGGCAAAGGUCUGAAUGGCACUGUUGGUGAACACAGUCUCUGGCGAUACUCGUGUUGGGGUGGUGCUACGUGGAACUCUACAAGCCUGGACGUGCUAUAUUGAACAAUCUCCUGCUGACCAUGCUGUUUCAUACCUGUUAUCUGAGGUGCUGGUAACUUCCUGACACCGCGCAGUAAGAGACAAAGCAUAUACAUAUGUUUAAGGCAACAGAGAUGCUCAGUGGUUAAGAGCAAUCCCCGUGCUUCCAAGAGAAUCAGAGUUCAGCUCCCAGCACCCUGUGGGAGGCAAACAGCUGCCUAUAAGUCCUGCUCCAGAGGAUUCAGUACCCUCUUCUGGCCUCUUCAGGCACCGCACUCAUGCACAAACCUACACUCAGACCCACAAAGUUAUACACAAUUAAAAAGAAAAAGAAUGGAGAAAGAUUAAAAAAAACAAAAACAAAAAUCUAUCAAUCAUCUCUCUAAAUUUUAGCCUUAUUAAAAACUACUUAUAAAUUAUUUUACCCCCAAAACAUUGGUAAGUUUAUGCUCAGUUUUAUAUUUCUAAAAUUUGCUUCUAAAAAUAGUUUUCUGCUUUGAUCAAAGUUUCCCAUUUCAAAGAAAUUAUGAAGGUCCACAAGGCUUGAAUUCUGAUCAGGACAAGACAGCACUUCUUUUCAGUUAAGUGUAAUGAGAAAGGAGAAUUUAUUUACUGCUUGCUUAAAUGUAUCAAUUAUUAAUUCAAAUCAAAACCAUACAUUCAAUAUUCAGCACCACAAUUUCCUGAAAUUCGUGUAUGAAAGAGACAGUCUACAGGAACCAGGAACUGUGCUUACCAGAACUUACGGACAUUUCUGGAACCAAAAGGAGAGAUAUUUGUGAGUAAGGAAGAAAGAAGGGAAUAAAACUCACAGGAACAAUUGUGCAGGGGCUGGAGAGAUGGCUCAGUGGUUAGGAGCACUGACUGCUCUUCCAGAGGUCCUGGGAUGCAUGUGGUGUGCAUACGGACACACAGGGCAAAACACUCAUGCACAUAAAAUAAAAUAAGUGAGUUUAAAAGAAUUUUUGAAGAACAAUUAUACAAACUCAAAAUACUUUUACUACCGUGAGAAGGGUACCCAAAUCAGUCAUCUCUCCAGUAUGAAGACAAAAAACAAAACAAACAAAAAUAACUACUACACUAAUAUAUUAGUUACUACUAUAGGCAAUGCAGAAAGAUAAGUGGGGUAUUGAAAACUCAGAAUAUGGGAAGCAAUGACAUACAAGGACAGAGUUUUCAAGAUUAUUAUUAUUAUUUUAUUUUAUUUUAUUUUAUUUUUUGUAUGUACAGUGCCCACAGAGGCCAGCCAUCAGGAGCUGGAAUUAGAGGUAUUUGUGAACUGUGCUAUGGGAGUGCUGGGAACUGAACUCAGGUCUUCCAGGGGAGCAAGAAGCACUCUUAACCACUGAGCAAGUAUCCCCCAGCAAGUAUGGGAAGGAUCCCAAGACCUGGGAAUGUGGCUCAGUGGCAAAGCAGUGGUCCAGGGUGCACAAGGCUGAUUUGAUCCACAGCACCGCACACACGUCACAUGUGACACACAUGCAGUUGGACACACACACACACACACACACACACACACACACGCACACGCACACGCACACGCACACGCACACACGCACACGCACACGC